AAGUCGUAACAAGGUUUCCGUAGGUGAACCUGCGGAAGGAUCAUUAUCACGUCUCCACGUAUAAACCAUAUUGGGACAGAGCGAAAAGCAAUUAUGAAGGACUGUGGCCUUCGCUUUUCAAUGCUUUGUUUCACUGCGGUAUCCUUUAACCACAGUUAUUAUUAACGCCUUUAUUCUAUUGAACUGAUCUGGAGUCUUUUCGGAGACUCUACAUUUAUUCAAAUUAAAAACAAUUCUUAACAACGGAUAUCUUGGUUCCC
RNAcentral lists this unclassified non-coding RNA (260 nucleotides) under fungal sp. RNAcentral's name for it is "partial internal transcribed spacer region". The stretch from base 1 to 46 matches the Rfam family "Eukaryotic small subunit ribosomal RNA", at positions 1786 to 1831 of the family's 1831-position model. The record is from RNAcentral. Lineage: Eukaryota; Fungi.